UACUGAGCUAGGUUGGGGAAUUAGCAGUUCCCUGUUGCAUGAAAUCUGCUUUAGCAUGAACCGAAGUCCGUGAGGCGGCUCAGUAAAGGGGCAUGGUCCUGUUUCCAACUAUGACCUUCUGUCCCCUAAGAUUGUUGGUGUGAGCCAACCCCGUGAGGCCUGGAAGGGAGCAACGGUAACUCAUUCUAUCAAUGCUUAAGGAAAACGGAAGUAAGGCGGUUAUUAGGGUUAAAGCUGUGUUUCUUUAUUGUUUCCACUUGCGGGCCUGCUCACUC
This 275-nucleotide signal recognition particle RNA is filed under the name Candidatus Diapherotrites archaeon CG11_big_fil_rev_8_21_14_0_20_37_9. Its description in RNAcentral is "signal recognition particle sRNA". It matches the Rfam family "Archaeal signal recognition particle RNA". The record is from RNAcentral. Lineage: Archaea; Nanobdellati; Candidatus Iainarchaeota.